UACGGAGGAUCCGAGCGUUAUCCGGAUUUAUUGGGUUUAAAGGGUGCGUAGGCGGCCUGUUAAGUCAGGGGUGAAAGACGGUAGCUCAACUAUCGCAGUGCCCUUGAUACUGAUGGGCUUGAAUGUACUAGAGGUAGGCGGAAUUGACGGUGUAGCGGUGAAAUGCUUAGAUAUCGUCAAGAACACCGAUAGCGAAAGGCAGCUUACUAGGCUGUAACUGACGCUGAGGCACGAAAGUGUGGGGAUCAAACAGG
Molecule: ribosomal RNA, 254 nt
Filed under: uncultured bacterium
Lineage: Bacteria
Description: partial 16S ribosomal RNA
Rfam family: Bacterial small subunit ribosomal RNA
Source: RNAcentral